AGAGACUCACCUCUGACGAAUCUCACCGGAGAGUUUAGAUCUCUCUUCUCUUCUACAUCGAAGUUUUGGUUCGUCACCGGCGACAAUCCUUUUCUCCGACGAUAUAAUGCCGUAUAAGACGGUGAUAGAAGUGGAGCCUCCGAGUCUGUUGCGGUACUUGAUCGGAGCGGCGGUGAUGAUGAUCGGCGUCGUAUUACCCGUUGGUUACAUGAUGUUCCGCAACAAACGCGUCCGCUUCUCGUCUUCGUACUCUAAACAGACGUGGGGAAUCCAUGGUUGAUAGAUGAUCAAAAUUUAUAGUUGCUUGCUUGCUUGCUCCUCUUCGUUAAAGCUUGUUUAGGCUAAAAUUGGAAGGAACAAAGUUUUGAUAUAGAAGGCUCCGAGGCUGCGGUUGGAUUCAACUGAAUUGAGACUGAUGAUGACAUAUUGAUACGGACGACUGUAAAAUUAUGGCGGAAUUCUUAUUUUGAGUUUUUACAUGGGUUGUAAGAGAUCCUUCAAUAUCGCAUUCUUGCUUAGGUUGAAAGAUAUCAUUCGCUGGCUAGAGUCAUCAUGAGCUAUAAAUUUAUAUAAAACUGAGCGUAGUUCUUUGCA
Camelina sativa (false flax) is the source of this 594-nucleotide RNA transcript. RefSeq lists it as uncharacterized. Lineage: Eukaryota; Viridiplantae; Streptophyta; Magnoliopsida; Brassicales; Brassicaceae. The record is from RefSeq and is a predicted model, not a curated record.